GCAUACGACCAAAUCACCCUAAAUGCACUCGGUCUCGUCCGGACUUAGAAGCUAAGCGGAUGUUGAUCCUGGUUAGUACUUUGAUGGGUGACCCAUCAGGGCUUGCCAGGUGUUGUAGGCU
This 121-nucleotide ribosomal RNA is filed under the name Petromyzon marinus (sea lamprey). The record is from RNAcentral. Lineage: Eukaryota; Metazoa; Chordata; Hyperoartia; Petromyzontiformes; Petromyzontidae.